RNAcentral lists this non-coding RNA (840 nucleotides) under Sypharochiton sinclairi. The record is from RNAcentral. Lineage: Eukaryota; Metazoa; Mollusca; Polyplacophora; Chitonida; Chitonidae.
GAAAAUUUGGUCUUGGUUUACACUUAACUGAAAUUAAUAAAAAUACAUGGUAGUUUUGCGAGUUUGUACAUUAUUAACUUUUUUUAUUAGGAUUUAAAGAGUUUUUUUAAUUUAAGUUAUGUUUAUCAAAAAAAUUUAUGACGAAAAUAUUUACAACACCAGUAUAAGAGUUUAAAUAGGGAAGAAAUUUUGUUUUAGAUAUUAUUUUUAAAGCUAGUUAAAUUUGUGCCAGCAACUGCGGUUAUACAAAAGGCUUGAGUUAAGAUUAAAACGGUAAAAAAUAGUUAUAAGUUUAGUGGUUAACUUUCAUAAUAUUAAUAGGUAAAAUUUGUAGAUAUUAUUGUAAUCCUAAGUUAACUGAAAUUAGAGGCUAUGAAAAUUUAAAUUAAGACUGGGAUUAGAUACCCCAUUAUUUAAAUUGUAAAUUGUUUACCUGGGUAUUACGAGUCAAUAAAUAGCUUAAAAUCUAAAAGACUUGGCGGUACUUUAAAACUUUCUAGGGGAGCCUGUCCUAUAAUCGAUAUUCCGCGCUUAACCUUACUUUAUUUAUGGUUUGUGUACUGCCGUCAUCAGCUUACGCUUAAGGGAGUAGAAGUUAGCUUUAAAAUUAUUUAUUAUUAUGUCAGGUCAAAGUGCAGCUUAUAAUAAAGAAGAGAUGGGCUACAAUUUUUAUUUGGAGACUGUAAUUUUAUUGUAAUAUAAAAUGAAAGUAGGACUUAGAAGUAAUUUUAGUUUAGAAUACUAAUAUGAAAAAGCUCUAAAGUGUGUACAUAUCGCCCGUCGCUCUCUUUUAAUAAGAGAUAAGUCGUAACAUAGUAGGGGUAGCUGAAGCUGUUCCUU